GUGAUUUCACCUAUGCGGGAUCAUCCACAGACCUCUGCAGCAGCAAAGGCUAACGAAACUGGAGCCCCCACUCUGCAAACAGGUCUACAGGAGGCUAAGCAGACGAUUGAGGAUCAAAAAAAAAGAUUGCCACCCUAAAAGACUGGGUAGACACAAUUAAAGAGGAGCGAGAUUUCCUCAGGGAAAGACUCAAAGAGGCUCUUGCAGUAAGAAGUGACAAGGGGGGUGAUGUGGCCAGCAAUAUCCCACCUAUAAGGCAGGCACCUGGACAGAGGAAACAGGAGUCAGAUGUAACCGAUUCAUCAUCCUCUGAUUCAUCAUCUGAUUCAGAGCCCGAUUCUGAGUCCUCAGGGGCCAAGAAAGCCAAGAAGAAAAAGUCCCAGCCAAAAAAGGCCAAAAAAAUGGGCAAGAAACUAAGAGGUAUGCAGUGAGUCAUACACAAAUUGAU
Molecule: long non-coding RNA, 448 nt
Organism: Labeo rohita (rohu)
Lineage: Eukaryota; Metazoa; Chordata; Actinopteri; Cypriniformes; Cyprinidae
Exons: 3
Source: RefSeq, a predicted model, not a curated record